RNAcentral lists this ribosomal RNA (301 nucleotides) under uncultured bacterium. RNAcentral's name for it is "partial 16S ribosomal RNA". It matches the Rfam family "Bacterial small subunit ribosomal RNA", at positions 512 to 808 of the family's 1533-position model. The record is from RNAcentral.
CAUAGCCGCGGUAAUACGUAGGUGGCAAGCGUUAUCCGGAAUUAUUGGGCGUAAAGCGCGCGUAGGCGGUUUUUUAAGUCUGAUGUGAAAGCCCACGGCUCAACCGUGGAGGGUCAUUGGAAACUGGAAAACUUGAGUGCAGAAGAGGAAAGUGGAAUUCCAUGUGUAGCGGUGAAAUGCGCAGAGAUAUGGAGGAACACCAGUGGCGAAGGCGACUUUCUGGUCUGUAACUGACGCUGAUGUGCGAAAGCGUGGGGAUCAAACAGGAUUAGAUACCCCGGUAGUCCCUGUCUCUUAUACA